GUCAAGAUAGCUCAGUUGGUAGAGUAGUGGACUGAAAAUCCUCGUGUCACCAGUUCAAAUCUGGUUCUUGACA
Molecule: transfer RNA, 73 nt
Filed under: Poteriospumella lacustris
Lineage: Eukaryota; Chrysophyceae; Chromulinales; Dinobryaceae
Description: tRNA-Phe
Rfam family: tRNA
About the family: Transfer RNA (tRNA) molecules are approximately 80 nucleotides in length. Their secondary structure includes four short double-helical elements and three loops (D, anti-codon, and T loops). Further hydrogen bonds mediate the characteristic L-shaped molecular structure. tRNAs have two regions of fundamental functional importance: the anti-codon, which is responsible for specific mRNA codon recognition, and the 3' end, to which the tRNAs corresponding amino acid is attached (by aminoacyl-tRNA synthetases). tRNAs cope with the degeneracy of the genetic code in two manners: having more than one tRNA (with a specific anti-codon) for a particular amino acid; and 'wobble' base-pairing, i.e. permitting non-standard base-pairing at the 3rd anti-codon position.
Source: RNAcentral